Molecule: ribosomal RNA, 253 nt
Filed under: uncultured bacterium
Lineage: Bacteria
Description: partial 16S ribosomal RNA
Rfam family: Bacterial small subunit ribosomal RNA
Source: RNAcentral
UACGAAGGGGGCGAACGUUAUUCGGAAUGACUGGGCGUAAAGAGCGCGUAGGCGGUGAUAUAAGUCUUGUGUUUAAUUUUCUGGCUUAACUAGAAAUCUGCAUGAGAUACUGUGUUGCUAGAGCAUGAGAGAGAAGAUUGGAAUUCUUGGAGUAGCGGUUAAAUGCGUAGAUCUCAAGAGGAACGCCGAUGGUGAAGACAGAUCUUUGGUUCAUUGCUGACGCUGAUGUGCGAAGGCGUGGGGAGCAAACAGG